CUGUGGGGUGCCGUUACCCAGAGUGCUGCGCGGCGCGGGCAGAGUGAAUGAGCCAACAUUACAUAUUCUGUGGGUGGGAGACAGCUCACUGAUGAGAAAACACAGACUUGGAAAAAGUGCUGCCUCAGUGCUCUGUUUGGAGCAGGGUGAUGGGUACAGGUCCUGAAUACAGGUCUUGGGACACCAUGCUGGUAGCUGUGUGCUCAGUCCAUGCUGGUCACAUCAAGGUGGUAGGCAUUGUAUAGUAAAUAAACAAGCAGG
Haliaeetus leucocephalus (bald eagle) is the source of this 261-nucleotide long non-coding RNA. RefSeq lists it as uncharacterized. The record is from RefSeq and is a predicted model, not a curated record. The transcript is spliced from 3 exons. NCBI's taxonomy places the organism in Eukaryota, Metazoa, Chordata, Aves, Accipitriformes, Accipitridae.